UAAAAAGCUCUAAUUCUAUACUUAAAAUUAACUGUUACAAAAAUUCUCUGCCUAUGCUACAAACAUGCUCUUACUUCGAGGUCCCAAUUUAAUAGGGCUGUUCAAUCAUCAAUGCACAAAGAUGAUUCACUUUUCAGCAACAAACAACAACAUACCCAGUGGAAUCCCACAAUGUGAGGUCUGGGGAGGGUAAAGUGUACCCAGACCUUACCCCUACCUAAGAAGGUAGGGAGGCUGUUUUCGAAAGACGCCUCUUGAAUUUUUGCAGGAAAAGUGGAUAACAUUGAGAGAAAUGGUCUUGUUAGUUACGCUUAAGCUCUUUGGUUUACUCUUUGCUCACUAUUUGGUAUUGCUUUGACUUAUGCGAUUUUAUUUCAUUUGUUAUUGAUUGUGAGUUGGAAUGGAUCCAUCUAAACUAAUUCAUGUGCCAUGUGUGAUGAGACCUAGUAUUAAAAUUUAUUCGCAUACAAAAUUUAUUUGCACACUUUGUCUAGGACUUGUUUUAAUUGUUUGUUGGGGGGAAAUUCUAAGGAAUGCUUGGUUCAGGAUAGGAUAAUAGGUUUUCCUUGGACCGUUUGAGCCGUUCAAGCCUACCAUUUGCAUGACGUAUGACUAUUGUCCCCUUUGAGCUCUUAAAUCCUUUGUUUGGCGACUACAUUAUGACCCUUUCCCUUGUACGCUUUAUCUUAUGAAUCACCGUACCUCUUUGAGUGCUUGAAUUGUAAGAAAUAGGCUGAAAGUCUAAAUCGGGGGAGUGUUGAUCACUUGAUUGGAGGAAGUGUAUUGGAACCGAUUGAAAGCAAAGAAGAGAAUAAAUAAAUGAAGUAUAGUUCUUGAAAAUGAAAAGAAGUAAAGAAUUUGAAAAGAAAGAAAAUGAAACAAAAGAAGUAUGAAUAAAUGGGCAAACUUGGAAGAAGAAACAUACGGACUUGCCUCUGGGUCUCUGACUCUCUGGUAUAAGCUGGUCCAUUGCUUCAUGUUCUAGCACCGUUGUUUGAGUGCGUUCAAAGCAUAAGCAGAGGCACCAAGUUAGGAAUAAUAUUUUGUAGAAACUUGUCUUUCCCUGUUAGUUUUAUGUUCCUUCUGAUUUUUUUUUGGUUACUUGAGUAAUAUAGUGCAGUAUUCUUAUUCAUAUAUCAUUAUGAUGAAGCUCAUUGUAUGUAACUUGGGUAAAAGGCAACAUGAACCUCACAUGUUUAUGUCUCUUUGCUCAACUAAACUGAAGUAUAAUGACGCAUCAACGAGCGGAAUCCAUUUUAACUCCUGAUUUGAGUAGGAAAUUCAGAGAGCUUUGUCCCUCAAAAGACAUCAAACCACUAGAAUUUUUUUGAUUUCUUAUAGACCUUUCUGUAUAGAUAUUUAUGUUACCUGCCAUUUGGUGUUCUGUAUUUGAUCAGGAGGAAACUUGGUCUAAAUGUUGUUACGUCAACGAACAUAACUUUUGGCUGAUUGUCUUGGUCGACGUAUGUUAUCGUUUUAUCAGUUUUGUUGGUUGACUUAUGAUCAGAAUGUGUAUUGAACAGGAGAACAAAAAGAGUGCUGAAAGUCAAACUUUUAAGUACGGCUUACUAAAAUAUGCCAGAAAGGAGAAUCAGUUCUAGAAUUCUGCCCCAAUUGUUUGGAUCAGCGAUAUAUAGUUUGUGCUUUCUUGUAAUAGUUUCCUUUUGUUAGUAUUUAAUACAAUACUAAAAUUUUAUUGUCCGUGCAUGAUGCUAAGGUGUAUUCCAUUGAUAAUUGGAAUACCAACAUCGUUGAUACUUUAUGAGCUUACUGCAGUUCUCAGAACAGAAAUCUCACUGUUGAUUGUUCAGCAAAGUGUUAACCGAAAAUCCUAAAUUUGCUUGCUAAUACUUUGUAACUUGCAGAAGUACAGGCUUGGAAAAAGGUAGUAAAUUGGAGGGUAUCCCGAGAAUCGAACUCGGGACCUCUUGCACCUGAAUUGAGAAUCAUACCACUAGACCAAAUGCCCAGCUUUAGUUGGUCCCAUAGACUAAGUGAUAGGUGGAAAUUUCUUUUCAGUUGUCUGGAGCUUAUACUGUUUUGUGAAAUGAUUUUCUAGGAGUGAUGAGCAUUGCAAUGUCUCAGGGCUCUUCCAUUGUUAAAAUAAUUGAUAUGGAAAGACAUAACUAUGCUAUUAAAGGUGUUUUACCCAAAUAGAGGCAGUUAGAGAUGGAGGAGCACUUGAGGAUUUAAUAAACUUAAGAGUAAAUAAAUUUUUUAUCAAAAUCAAGGGGCAUUCCGAGAAUCGAACUCGGGACCUCUCGCACCCAAAGCGAGAAUCAUACCACUAGACCAAAUGCCCGUUGUUGACAAUUGCCAUCUUUGAGUUCUAUUCAAAUGUAUUUUCCCCUUGUGAGUUAUUUGAUUGUAUUACUUAUCUGUAAUUUAGACUUCAGAUGCUCUGAUUUCAUAACAGUUGAUCUUCAUUUGCUUACUUUCAUAUUCUUGGUAGUUCUCUUUUUUUUACUUUAGUGAUUGAGAACUGUCAAUGGACAUGAGGCCAGGAUCCUGGCAUUAGCUGUAUCAGUUUUGCAUAGUUGAACAUCGUAGUUUGACUUAUGUCAGAGGCUCAUAGCUGAAGUAAGGAAAACUUCCGCUAAGUUUAUCAAUAUCACAUUUAUAGUUAAACACGGGCUAUCUGUUGGGUUCUCUUAUUACCAAUUCUCUUUUAGCUACCUUUUUUACUAAGCUACGUCCUCACUUGUUUUCAUGAAAUAGACGAGCUUAUGUUGUAAAUUGGUACAAAACAACAUGGUACAUUGAUGUUCAUGCAUCUUUGGACGUUGGUUCACUAAAUUGAAAUAAUAUGGCUCUGAACUAUGGAUACUCAUUUAACUCCUCGUUUUGACGUGAAAUUCAGAGAACUUUUUGCCUCAAUUUUGUGAAAGACCUCCGAGCCAUUGAUCAUCAAUGAUUUCAGUUGUUACUGUUGAAUUCCUUGAGCCCUAAAUGACCUCGUUAUAAUCCAAACUUUAUGAAUCUUUGAUAUUAAAGCAAACCAAGGUACUAACUUAACUUUUUUACCUGCUUAGUCAAAUUGAAAACAGAUGGCAAAAAUGGAAAGCGUGUCCGAAUUGAUGUCUUAUGAUAGUUGAGAUACUUGAGCUUACCCAUUCAACAUUUUAUGUUCAGGGAUCCUUAGGGAGUUUGGCUCUGAACUUUGGAGUUGCAGAUCUGCUUAUCUGAACAGGCAAGCCCAAGUCUGCACUAUUGCAGGGAUUUCUUGGUAGUUCUAUGUUGAAUUUUGGAGUUCCAGAUCUGCUUACUUGUAAACUAGAGAGGAACUUUUUGGGAGUUAGACGUUGAACUUUGGAGUUCCAGAUCUGCUUUUCGGUGAACUGAUCAAGCAAGCCCAACUCAUCACUAUUGCAAGUAUUCAUGAGAUUUUGUUGUAUGAAGACAGUUCUUAGUUGACUUGAGAUCAGCUUACCAAAAUGGAAACAAUAAAGAGCUCUUGAAGUCAAGCAUUAGGUAAGGUUUGGUACAAAUACAAAGCAAAGUUAGGUCUGGACUGUACAAAUGGUCCUACUUGUUGAUAAUUAAUAAACCAAAGAUAUAUUGAUUCCCGUUGGCAUUAAAUUGUCAGCAUGUGACCAAGUGUGAAUUCUAUUUUUGGAAUCUCAGAACAUCAAUCUGAAUGCUGAUCUUUUAACAAAAUACUAGGAGUCUUGCACCCAUGAAUCAUACAACUAGACUGAAUACCCAGUUUUUAAUGUUCCUGGUAGACAAUCUUGUAAAAAAUAUACUACUUUUGGAGAUUAUUUGACAUAAUUGAAGAGUGGAGUAACAAGGUUAACACUAAGUCGUCCCAGAUGAAAAAGUCAGGUUGUGUUCUGCUUCAAUU
Molecule: long non-coding RNA, 3844 nt
Organism: Lycium barbarum (goji berry)
Lineage: Eukaryota; Viridiplantae; Streptophyta; Magnoliopsida; Solanales; Solanaceae
Exons: 5
Source: RefSeq, a predicted model, not a curated record